This is a long non-coding RNA of Diuraphis noxia (Russian wheat aphid), 422 nucleotides long. The record is from RefSeq and is a predicted model, not a curated record. NCBI's taxonomy places the organism in Eukaryota, Metazoa, Arthropoda, Insecta, Hemiptera, Aphididae.
AAUWAUAAUAAUCAUUAUAUAAAUUACAAUUUUAUUACGUCAUGUGCCAAACGUAUGUGAUAAAGAUAAAAUAAAAAAUAAACUUAUGGGUCGAGUAGACAAGACCRUGAACCAUAUGAGUUUAAUAUCAUCAUAGAAUACUUUAGCCAAUCUGCGCUGUUGCCUGAUGUUAAAAAAAUAAUUCUCCGACUUCCACAAAGAUGGCGUCAAAGACAAUUUCAUUUAUUUAAAUACUCAUAUUUUUGUGCGCUUUUGUGCUGGUUGCUUCCUGAAGUUGUUGUCGUUCAACAGACACGCAAACAUUGUACCGAGACAUUUACCAAACAUAUAUUGACUGUACUCACAAUUCACCUGAUGCAUUUAGAACGAUUAUGUAGAUAUAAUACACAUGCAGCAAUUAACGGUAACGCACGUAAACUGGA